Mauremys reevesii (Reeves's turtle) is the source of this 1675-nucleotide long non-coding RNA. RefSeq lists it as uncharacterized. The transcript is spliced from 3 exons. Lineage: Eukaryota; Metazoa; Chordata; Testudines; Geoemydidae. The record is from RefSeq and is a predicted model, not a curated record.
UUCUGUGCAUUGCUGCAUCCACCACAAGAGAGUUGAGUUGUGGGUGGGAAAAUAAUGCAUCUACAUCCUUAGCAGUGACCAGGGAAGAGGUUCAGCACUGCCCUGAGUCCCAUCUUCGGCCGAGGAUGGUUGAGAAGGAACUGGGGGGGGGGUGUGCUGGACGCACCCUAAUGACAGACAGACUCUAAUGAUGCCACAAGACAACAGCUGGGCGCGUGUGUCCUGACCAGGCACUGCUACCAAAGAUCUCCAUUCAACAGUGCCGUCACCUGGAGUGGAACACCCACAGGGACAGCACUUGAAGAAGAACUAAUCUUAUGCCUGGUCUACACUGGGGGAGGGGAUCAACCUCAGAUACACAACUUCAGCUAUGAGAAUAGUGUAGCUGAAGUCGACAUAUCUUAGUUCAACUUACCUUGUGUCCUCAAGGUGUGGGGUCAAUUGCCACGGCUCCCCGUCGACUUUGCUUCUACCUCUUGCCAAGCUGGAGUUCAGCAGUCGAUGGGAGAACGAUCGGGAACGAUCUAUUGCGUCUACACUAUACGCAAUAAAUCGAUCCCCAAUAGAUCGAUCGCUACCCACUGAUCUGGCAGGUAGUGUAGAUGUACCCUUAGUGAACAAUUUUUUUGGUUGAAUUUAGUCCAUUAUUUUCUAUUUAUCAGUUUUCUAUCAACAUUUUUUCAUUGUUCAACAUUUUUCAAUACAUUUUAUGAGUGUCUUUCAUCCAAUUAAUUUAAGUUUUCAUAUGCUUGGUUUGAAAUGUGAGCUGUUUUAAUUGUGCACAAAGGUCACAUAGCAUAUUUCUAUUUCCUGCAGGAAUGAAUAAGAAAACUGACAAUUAUAAAUAUAAUAUUUUCCUUCCAGAACUAGAGUCUGCAAUAAUCAAAAAUUCACUGUUCCACCAAAUAUUUCUGCUAAUUAACUUCUUCACUAGAAUAUUCACAGAAAGCAAACAAAAGGGGCAAAUUGAAGAAAUUACACAAAUAUUUACAAAUAAUCUCUGCACUUUUCAUACAGUUCAGUAAUGGAUAAACAUACAGCACCCCCUUGCUGAUUGACAUGACUUUUUGCUGAGGUUUGCAAAGUAAGAAAACUGUUUUGGAAUUACAUCUGAGACUGAUUUGAAGAAUUUAGGUGGGAAGGCUAUGACAGGUGCAGAGUUGGCUGUGGUAGUGAUCCAAGCCAUGGAAGAGAGAGAAUGAAAAUGAUGAGAUGUGGAAGCUGCGGGAUGUACAUGACUCUAGAACAGAUACCUGAAAAGAGCUUAAUUUGUGUGAAAUGUCGCUUGAUAGAGCUGAUGGAAGAGACGAUCCGAGGCUUGGAGAUGCAGGUGGAAACUAUGGCUGAAGGUUUUGAAGGAGCUUUGAGCAGAUGAUGGAGCAAAGGCAAGAGGAGGCUAAAGGGAAAAAACCCAAACACUAAAACAAAUCCGGAACCAUCCACUCCACCCUCAAACUCCCCUUACAAACAUGCCUAUUUACUGCUCCUAUGCUGCUGUACCUGGGCCACUGGCUAACAGUUUGGCUGCCUUUCUAGGCCCCUUAAUCAGGGUUCUGCUUCUCUCAAAACUCACUCACUGCCUCUAAGGAGCAGGGACUUGUUCCUCCCUUCUCCUCCAACAGGACUCCCACUCCAUCUCCCCUGUUUACAGCUCUGUUUGCUGAUUCUGUGCCAC